GAUGAACGCUGGCGGCGUGCCUAAUACAUGCAAGUCGAGCGAACAGACGAGGAGCUUGCUCCUCUGACGUUAGCGGCGGACGGGUGAGUAACACGUGGAUAACCUACCUAUAAGACUGGGAUAACUUCGGGAAACCGGAGCUAAUACCGGAUAAUAUAUUUAACCGCAUGGUUCAAUAGUGAAAGACGGUUUUGCUUUCCCUUAUAGAUGGAUCCGCGCCGCAUUAGCUAGUUGGUAAGGUAACGGCUUACCAAGGCGACGAUGCGUAGCCGACCUGAGAGGGUGAUCGGCCACACUGGAACUGAGACACGGUCCAGACUCCUACGGGAGGCAGCAGUAGGGAAUCUUCCGCAAUGGGCGAAAGCCUGACGGAGCAACGCCGCGUGAGUGAUGAAGGUCUUCGGAUCGUAAAACUCUGUUAUUAGGGAAGAACAAAUGUGUAAGUAACUAUGCACGUCUUGACGGUACCUAAUCAGAAAGCCACGGCUAACUACGUG
RNAcentral lists this ribosomal RNA (497 nucleotides) under uncultured bacterium. RNAcentral's name for it is "partial 16S ribosomal RNA". It matches the Rfam family "Bacterial small subunit ribosomal RNA", at positions 28 to 507 of the family's 1533-position model. The record is from RNAcentral.